This 17959-nucleotide long non-coding RNA is filed under the name Fragaria vesca (wild strawberry). RNAcentral's name for it is "long non-coding RNA (FVES_LNC001896)". Lineage: Eukaryota; Viridiplantae; Streptophyta; Magnoliopsida; Rosales; Rosaceae. The record is from RNAcentral.
ACGCUGCACUACCAGCAUUCGGAGACUUUACAGAACCAGGUCUAACAGAAGCAGCUGCUGCUGCCUGUUGCUGGCUCAAAGGGAAAAUGAAAGCAGGACCAUGCUGAAAUACAAUAAGGACACCUGAUUAAUAUAUGCAACCCCUGGUCCAUGGUGCCUUUCAACAAUGAAACAAACAAGAAAAGAAACAUACCAAGAUAUUACUAGGUGCGCCUGGAGGUAGAGCUUGCUGGAUUACUAUUUGCUUUCUCUGUGCAUCCAUAAGAUUGGCUGCUGGUGAAGCUUUUUCCUUCCCAGGUUGCGCAGGAAACAUAGUAAUCCCAUGUCCUUUGUCAGGUGCAGAAUUUGCACCUCUACCAGGAAUACUCCCAUGAAAUUCUGGGGGAAUUACACUUGGAUUGUGCUUCGUCCCAUACAUAGAUCCGGAACCAGCUGCUACUGGCCAAAAAGGAUUCAUCUUCGACAUUUGCUGGUGAUAGUAUAUAUUCCUUGCAAUGUAGCAAUGGGUUGCACACCUCUUUUGACGAGGUUGGUUGAAAAGCACUUGCGGUGGCUGCACGAGUUCAAAAUUUGAUUAAAAAAAAAAUGAUGGAGCUUGCAAAGAGUUUCAAGAAAAGAUUGGAAAGUGAGAAAAAAAACCCCCGGAAAGUAGACUUACUUGCAUAGCAGCUGGAGGAACGGUACUCCCAUCCAUGGAUACAACUCCUUGUAAAGGUGCCAUGUAUCUGCUGAUAAGAAACACAAAUGAGUCUAAAAACCAGCACCCGAAAUAUUGCCAACAAAGAUUGAGGAACACAAGAAAAUGACCCAAUCAUACCCCAUAGGAGAAAGCCCCCCUGGCCAGCCAGCAGGCAUAGACAUUGGCAAAGGUACAGAGCUUGGUUGCACUGAAGAAGAAUGUGAUAGAAAUUAUUAAUCAGGCAACCCGAAAGGUCAAUCCAAAGCUCAAAUAACCCCGUGAAAAAGAGAUUAUGAGAGAAGAAACAAAGAGAAAUACACAAAAUGAACUUACCAGCAGUUUUCUCAGUGCUUUGUUGCUGCUUAGCAGCAUGCUGAGGUAGCUUGUUUCCACUAAAACCAGCAUUGCCACUAUCUCUAUCAGUCUUCUCCAAAUCAAGCUGGAGAUCAAUAUUCCUUUCCUUACCACCCACAACAGGCUUCUUAAACUCAGCUUCUUCCACUACUGCUGCCGAAGCUGCUUUCUUAAACUUCUCAGCUUCCAAAUUUGCAGGCUCUUCCUUCCCAAAUUUCAAAGCUUUGUCAUCUUCUCUGGUCAAGGACUUUAAUUCCUGCACCCAAAAACAAACAGUGCCCCAUUUAUUAAAUCAACAAAUCACCAUCAUACCAAACAAGAAGGGUACGCAAGUGGCAGUGGUGGGCCCCUACUCACCGUUUCUGCAACUAUGACCGUAGGUUUGGGAUCUGCAGACACAAAAUCAACCUCGCCAUCUCUUUCUGGAGAAGAUCUUGAAGGAGGAGGAGCCUAUAACAAUUAAAACACAGAAAAUUAACCCAGAUUAGAAAAUAAAAAAUAUACCUUUGAAAAAAAAAAAAAAUAUAUAUAUAUAUAUAAUAAAAUAAAAAGAAGAUAAAUCUUGUUUUAGAUAACAAGACCCUCACCAUCAGAUCUAUCUGGAACUUCUCUUCCCGGUGGUUCUCAAUCUCAGAGAUGGUUGAAUUUCUGGCAAAACACAAGAAAAAAAAUUAGAGAGAAAACUCAGGACCCAAUUUUUUAUAUUUUCCCAGAAAAAGAAAAGGUCUAUGAUGCUCACGCUUUAUUGGUCGCUGUCAUAUCCCCACGAUUAUCAUCUAAUCUGAACACUGGAGAUUCUUUCUUGGGCGAUUGCGCUUCCUCUUUCCUUUGUUUGAGAUUUUGACUCUGCGAUUCGUCAUUUCCCGGCUUUGAAUCUGCGGUAGCCUUGCUCUCCGGCUUCAUCAUUGACUCCUUAAUCGACUCAGGCUGGGACCCCGGUACCGGAAUGGAGUGAGAAUUGGACAAGUUGUACGAACACCCACCAUUUUCUGUGACAGAUCCUGAUUUUUUCUCCAAAUUUGGGGAGGAAGCUUCAAUCUUCAUGGAUUGAUCUGUGGCAACCUUGUUUGUAGUCGAAAUGGCACUGUUUUGUAGUGGGAAAAUCGAUGGGUGUUCUUCAUCAUACUUCGCAGAGGCUCGCGGUCUUUUCCUCUUGGGUGCUGUUGAAUCCAAUCAAACGCAGAAAAUUUCAUCAGUCACCAUAAAAACACAAGCAGCCCCGAAACAGAGCAUUGGGGAUGAGAGCAAGAAAUGAAUUAAGACUGAGCUCCUGGGAGCGGAUAUACCCACCAGUAGCGGACAUGGAAGUGGCAGAGGAGCUAGAAUUCUGCGGAAAAGCAGAUAUCGAGUGAGGAGGAGCACACGGCGAGUUUGAGAUCGGUGACGAAACUCUUGAUUUCGCAUCACUAGUGGACUUGUUGAUUUCUCUUGAUUCGAACUUAAUUGAAUCGGUGACUGUAAUUUCUUGCUUCGUUGGACCCUGCGGUUGCCUCAUCAUCCCAUACAACACCUCAGCAAUCUCAAUCUCUAUCUCGUCUUGAGUCGACGGUGAUGUCUUGGUCGUCGUCGCCAUCUUCGGCGGCUUCAAUUUUGGGCCAUUGGGUCUCUACACACAGAAGAAAAUCCGUCAGUAAAGAAAAAAUUGAAAAAUCAAAGGGAAGCAGAAUCAGAAAUGAAUCAAAUUCGAGAACACCCACAGGCUUCUUCCUAACCGAAGCGUGAGAAGAAGAGGGUGAGGUCGGAGCUGGGGAUGGCGCAGCCAUCGAUGAUGUGGUUGGCCGGACCGGAGAUGUAGAAGCUUGCCGGUGAAAUUGGUCUCCGACAACUCCACAACUGGAAGGCCAUUCAUGAGACCUCUUCGUAGAGGCUGAAAAUUACAGAAAAGGACAAAGUCAAAACUAGAAUCCCAGAACCCAAUAAUUCCUUUCGGAUUUUCCAUAAUAGGUUCUUUCUCUCUACCUGACCGUGCUCUUCUGGGAACGGAAACGCCAAUCAUUUCAUCAGUGACCUUCAACGCCGGCAGCGGUCGGAAAUGCUUAUUAUUAACCGGAGGGAAGCUCUUCCGGUGAUUCAACAACGAAGACGACGAAGAAAGCGACGCCGUUGGCGGAUUUGGCGGAAGCAUGCGAAUAGAGCCGCCGCCGCCUCCACCAUCGUCGUAUUCAUCUUCGUCCUCGUCGUUCACACUCUCCUCAGAACUAUCGUCUCCGCCGUCUUCUCUAUUGCUCCCGUGCAUCAAUCUCUCAGCUCUUCUCCUCUUAUUCCGGUUCAUCCGAUCCCUGUCUCGAUCCCGGUCCCUGUCCCGGUCUCGGUCCCGGUCUCGAUCCCGAUCUCGAUCUUUCUUCCCGCUCCCUCGAUCUCUCAGCCUCGAGGUCUCCUGUAACUCCACCGGACCAUCGUCCUCUGCAAAGACCAAAACAAAAUCAAAAACCAUUAAAAUCAAUGAAAAAUCUUCAAACUCAGAAUCGGUGAAAACGAGUUAGAUCUGAGGCUGACCUGGAGAGUCUCUGAGGCUGUGAUUUCUGUGUCUUCUUCUUGACAAGCCAUUCGUGGCCGCCAUACUUCCUCUCCUCGCAUCUCUAUUCCUAUCCAUCUUCUACUCUAAAUCUAUCUAAGCCACACACCUAUAAAGCUAAUCCCAUCUCUAAUCACCAGAAAAGAUGAACGCCUCGCCGGAGAGAAUUUAGUCAAAGCCACCGGAUUCGCAUCCUCCGAGGAGCUCCAAACGCCAGAAAUGAUUUCCUCUCACAAAUAAAAAGAUCUUAGCUUUCGCUUAUCUUCUUCACCUCUCACUCUCUCUCUCUUUCUCUCUCUCUAUCUGUGCUCUUCCUUCUUGCCCCCUCUUGCCUUUUUCUCUCUCUUUCCAACUUCUGUCUUCUUUUUGUGCUCUGUAUCAGUCUAUCUCUCAUCCUCUUUUCCGCUAUUUCACUGGGAGCGAAACCCACUCCAGACCUGCGUGGACGGUCCUGAUCUCCAGCUACACUUCCUCGACAGAUCUCAGCUCUCCAUUAGUCGACCCAUCCGGUGGUUAUACAUCUCCUGAAACCAACAUGGCAUCAUCUCCCACCGUUCGUUCCAGGACCUCCACCUUUUCUGUCUGGUCCCUCCACGUGUCAUAAUCUUUUUUCCUUCCUUCCCAAGCUUUCACGUUUACUCACUCACUACCGAUUUGGUGCUUUUAUACUAUUAAAUAAUUUAAAUCAAUAAAUACAGAUAAAGAUAAUUUUUUCUUUUUUUCUUUUUUUAUUUUAUAAUGGGUACUGUAGGUCUGUAGCCCACGAUUCCACAAUCACAGUGAAUAUUUUAUAGAAACCCCCGGAGAACCGGUGACCGGCUAUAACCGGUGGCAGAGACCUCGGUAAAAGCUACGUGACGAUCACAGGGUAUCUACCUGACCGCAGAUAAUAUUGUUCCAACCGGUCAAAUUUCACAAAAUCAUUACCCCAGGUCCCACCAUUUUGUGUUUCCUUUUUUAUAUCUUUAAUCAUAUAUUUUAAUGUAUUUCAGGAUGAUGGCAAAUCUAUUAACAAAUUCCAUAUAUCGACAAGUGCGGGCCCACCUGACUUGUACCAGAUUGACGUUCAACGCAGCGGAUCUGUCCUUUACCGUCACACCAGCUCUAAACGCCGUUGGAUCGGCGUCCGACGUGGCGUGAAACUGAAAAAAUAUUUUUUAAAGGCAAACGCCCAAACCCAGAUUCGUCCGAGCUGGCACCAAAGCUAAAAAAAGGGCUCGUGCGUGUCGAUCAGUGCGCCCCCUCUGAUCCAACGGUUCAGACGCGCCCACAGCCGCGGGUGAAGCCUACUCUCUCCGGUCACGGUCACGGAACUUCCGAGACAAGGCGUGGGUCCCACCCGGUUAGCUGCCGAUCUAGAAAUUAUUUCCUCGCGUUGGCCUAUUGUCACGUUCGUGGGAUAUGGCAAGCUGCCAUGACGUGUACCGGGCCCACAGCACAAAAGAAAGAAAUCUACCAUUUUUUUCCUUUUUCUUUUUCUCUACCUGCGCGGUCAAAUUUAACAGCGCAGUUAAAAAAGUCGUAUUUACACAUACGACUUAUUAACUAAAAAGGCAAACGUUUUUCCGGUUUUCUCACUCCACGCACUUAUUGCGGAGUUUCACAUUUAAUUACCCCAGAUAUAUAAAAGCCGUUCAUUUAUGGCAGUGUCAUUUUCACUACGUGUCGUUCUCUAGUCGCGACACGUGACGCUUGCUCUUCUGAUUCCCCGUCUCGGAUCUUGCUAUUGGCUACUUUUCUACGCUCUCACAAGCUAUAGUAAAUAACUUUCUCAGAUUAGAAGGCGGUUGCGAUACUCUUACCCGCCUGUGACGGACCAUAUUCGAGCAGACAGUGGGAAAACUUACAACACAGCUGGGUGAGUUAAUUAGUGCUCCAUAAAAAAGGGUAUAAUUUAGGAGACAAGUGUGGCCACGUCAGACAGUGGGGUCCUCAGUUGGGUUAACCCCACCACAGUGGAUCCCUUUCUCCAGUAUUUGUCGCCUUGCGAGGGCUUAGGGGCUCUCAUUUUCGCUCGCUAUCGUGAACUCCCUGAUAGAUGCCACGUGUCCGAAAAACGGUGCUACGUGAUCUGCCCGCGUGGCUUUGUUUAUGACCGUUUACGUAACCCUAGCCGUCAACAACAAGAUAAACAACAAAGCACACAUAAUUGGGGCGUGACCAUAACCUGCGCUUAUUAUUAGCUUAUUAUUAUAACUAAUCUAAUUGAAUUUUGAUUAUUAUAAUAAUUGAUUAAUAAACUAAUUGAAUGUCAUAUUGGGCGAAUGCAUUAUGAGCAUUACAAGGUAUGAUCUUCCCUGUUGGGGGUGCUUCAUGCAUGAAUGAGAAUUUCAUUUCUUCACUUAAAAUAUUGACUCAGAAAAUAGUAACUCAGGUACAACUCGGAGCAUAUUUAGAGCAACUUCAACGUAAGAGUCAAAAAAAUUUAUCAAAUUUGAAUUUUGACAUAUGACAUGGAAUUUUUAAAUUUGACAAAUUUCUACUCCAACAAAAUGGUUAAAUUCAAACAUUAUUAUACUAUAUCCCUAAAAUCCCUUCUCGUUCUUCUUUUAUCUUUAGCCCAGAAAUUCUUCUAGUUCUUUCAUUCUAUUACCUUCUGCUCUUGAUGUUCUAAACCACCAAAUUCAAUCUUCAAUUGACACUUCUCAAAACCCAAAUCCCGUAUAAAUUCUUUGGUUCUCUCCUACCCAAAUCCUACAGAAAUCAUAUUUCAGAUUCCAAAUAGACAAGGGGGUUGGUUUUGAAAUCGACCCCAGAUCGGUGGCAGAAUAAAAGGAGGAGGAAAGCCCGAGGAAGAUGAUGGUGGUGGUGGGUUUGGGAGGCAUGAGAGGGGUAUGAAAUUUGGAUCAGAUUGCAUCUUUGGUGACUUUCAUUCUAGUUUGGACUCCAAUCUGCAUGUUGCAUUUGAGAACAUGAUUCUAAAAGAAAGAAAGAGAGCACUAGAUCUGAUGACGAUGAUGUUGAUCGGAGAAAGGUGGAGGCUGGAGUUGAUCCUCUUGAGAAAAGAAGAGAAGAUGCAGAAGCAAGAAAAAAGAGGGAGAAGUGGGAAGGAAGAAGAGAGAGCAGCGAGAGAGACGAAAGAGAGAGAAUCAAUGAUAAAAUAAUAAAUGACUAUUCUCUCGCGCUGUGUCAAAAUUGACAACGUCCGGGCUAUAGUCAAAUCCACAUAGGAUUUGACUCUUUCAAUGGAGUGCAUGUUGGGCUGUCAAAAAGAAACGUUGGGCUACCAACAAGGAUUUAACUCCUUUGUUGGAGAUGCUCUUAAUAUUCAAGCAAAUAAUAUAUAUAUAUAUAUUACAAUACUCGAUAUGUCAAUGUUUAUAGUUAUGUUUCUUUUCCUAUUCAAAUCGCUUGUCUUAAAAAUUAUUCUCCUAAUGCGGUCUUUUGUUCUAGGUUAGGAGCUUCCAUUUUGAUGAGGAUAAUGACUGGUUACCAUUUUUGAUGUACGAACCAAUUGUGAUUAAGAUUUUAGAACAUAAUGUACAUUUUAUAUUUUUAUUUGUGUUUUGAGUUACUUAUUCUAUUUCUAUCAUAUAAGUUUGGUUCUAUGCCUAAUUUUUAUCAAAGUUCAUCUGCGUUUUGCACUUUUUACAAUUGUACAUUUCCAAACAAGUAAUUCAAAUAUUCUCCCAUCCACAAGCUAUCUACUGAAUUCUAUUUUCAUAACCAGUUUUCAUGUGGAUUGGGUUGGCCUAUAUAGAAUUUUGUUUACUUAAUGCAACUAUUACUCCAUAGCUUCCUUUCUAGUGUUUUAUAGGAUACAUUGGCAUUUUGCAAUAUCUUCUUCUCUAGAUGCCUUAAAUCAUGGAAUUGACAACUGGUUAUGGACUUGAAAUUAAUUUCCGCUUAUUAAAAUGUGAAAACAUAUCAAGAUGUAAAUGACAGACUUCAUUUCACGAUGUUUACUUGGCGACUCAUCUUCUCUCUAAACACAUGAUCGAUAUGGUUUGGUUAUAUGGUGACAAUGAACAAAAUGACACUCUUAAUAGGUGGUGUGGUGAAUCCUAAACAUAAUAGUGAAUAUCACAAUAAUAGUUAUUUUUUUCCUAGACUCACAGUGUGUUUGGAUGCGGGUGAAUUUCUAGAAAUUUAAUCAAAAAUAAAGAAUUCCUAAUUUCUUAAGACUGUUUUUCCCUGUUGGAUUCUUAUUUAUUUUUUUUUUGGAAAAUAUCAAAAUGAUAUAUUAAUAAUUCUCAGGCCAAAGAAAGCCAUUACAUAUACUCCCUCUACCGAUUAUGGAUAUAUAAAAAGUUUGCGAACAAGUCACAGUGAUACAGAGAUUAGACUCCUCAUUCGACAAUACAAAACUCACUUAUUCAAACGCGCUUACUACUAGUGCAUAACAGACACCGUAGUAGCCCAAAUUAAAAUAUAUUAAAUCUUCUCUUUGCCCUUGGCUGAAGGCCUAGGAGGUGCAGGCUAAUAAACCAUCCGGUUCGGCCCAUCAUCACCAAUCAGCCAAAAGCCCAAGCCAGACUCUCCUUGCCUGAACUCAUAUUCAGGCCCAAUUCUCUGAGCCCAAACCGUAACCCGAGUCUAAGUCUGCCUCACCGUCAUUGUUCUCGGAGACCAGCGCCUCCACAUCUCGUCAUCAAAAGCAAGCUUCCACGCCGCACUGACAGAAAAUUCAGGUCCGUCCGAACCCUGACCUUGCACCGCUCGCAUAUCCACUCCAAUCUGAGUCAUUGGAUACGAACCAGGAGGUCGGCAACCAUUAAGCCCAACUGUCACUGCAUUUGAAAUCUGAGCAGGACUGUUGCCCAGAUCUGGCAUGACAACCACCAUGGUCGCCGUUCCAUCGUUCCUGACCUCGAGAAACCGUGUUGAACCCAUCUCCAAGGAUUUGGACAUGGUUAGAGACCCACAUCUGAUCCAACAAAGCACCAUCACAGUUGGAAAGGUCAGUUCGAACCACUUGUAUCAGAGCUGCCGCCCCACUGACAAAAGCAUUCAUCUCAGCCUCUCGUUGCCACCAAAAACAUGAUCUCGUCGUCGCCGCGAUCAGGCUGCCAACACAAUCGUCACCUCGUCCGUAGAUGUCACACCCCAAUUUUCGAAAGAUAAAUUUUCAAAAAUUUGGGCAUGAUAAAACUCAAAUUCUAAAUACCCCAAACCUGCUCAACAACUUUCAAACUAAAAACAGAUACUGGAAAUGUAAAUGUCAAUGAACUCAACAACUGAGUUAAACAUUUAUUCUCCUUAAAUACAUCAACUUCCAAAAGUCUAGUAAUAAACAACUUCGCUCACAAGAGCUUAAAACAACUACCAUAAAAAAAUACAAAUAAAUGUAUCUCGUAAAAAACCCAGCUCCUAGGCCACUGCCUCAACCCUGCUGAUCAUCACCUGCAGGUCUAACCCCUACACCAUGAAUUGGUGCACCGGGUUGUAAACAACAAACCCGGUAAGCUAAAAAGCUCGUAUGAGUAACUCCCAAAUAUUAACUCAACAAAUCCAACAUCACACAUAAAUAAAAUUGGUAAUUCCCGCAUUAAAAACUUAGUUCAAGAAUCACCUAAAAGCAAAAGAAAUCAAAAGAACAAAUAAGAAAAAACACAAUAAUUCAAAAUCACUCAAAAUCAUAAAUGAAACAAAUAAUUAAAAGGAGACGCAACAAUUCACAAUCAAACAAAUCAAAAUGAAAUCCUACAAAAAGACAUAGUUCAAGAAAUACUUAAAACGAGAAAUUUUAAAUGACAACAAAUAAGAACCUCAAACAAUCAUUUCUCUACUCUUACUUAUGAGUUCGCCAACACUUAGUCAUCCCUCAUAAGUAACCAACAAAUGCGUACUCAUGGGUUCGUCAACACUUAGUCAUCCCCCAUGAAGUACCAACUGACAGACUAGAGCUCUAUACUGACCGUAACCAAUCACCCGGCCAAGGCUUGGUUCCCGGUCCACCACGAAGGCUCCUAAUCUAAUGCACACCAUCACCACUAAGGCACACACAUACACAACUAAUGCACAAAAUCACCACUAAGGCACACACAUACACAACUAAUGCACACAAUCACCACUAAGGCACACACUCUAAUACUCUCCCAACAUAACACUUAUCAAAUCACAAAAUAAUAAUAUAAUCAUAACCGUAACCUAUCACCCGAUUAAAGGCUAGGAACCCGGUUUGACUAUUUAACAACAAUUCAAUAUAAAAAUAUCAUCAACAACAUCAAAAGAGCACUUCAUAAAUUAUAUCUUUCCACCUAGAUAUAUUUAUAUAAACAAAGACAUAGAUAUUCCCACUAGAAAAUCUAUCAACAAACAUAUUUCAACGUCACCAUAUCACAUGAUCGAAAGUCCUUUUGAAAGAUUUAUUUUUAACAGAAAACUUGUUUUCACUUACCAUGAGCCGUUGACGAUCAAGCUCAUUUAUUUUUUUAAAAACAAAGUCAUUUUCCUUCAAGGACAAUUUCACAAUUAAUAAAACGAAAUUAUAAAGUAAACUCGGUUCCUUAAGAACCCAUGUGAGAAUUACUCACAAUAUAAAAAUAGCAUCAUAAUCAUCAAACAAAACCAUUACCAUCGUCAUCAUAAUAAUUAUCAUCAUCAUCAUCAUCCUCAAAAACAACAUCACAAUUAUCAUCAUAAUCAUCUCCAAAAUCAACAUCACAAUCAUCAUCAUGAUAAUUAUAAAUAUUUGGUCCCAAAGUGGACCUUGGUGAGAUGUUACUCACCUAAAAUCCAGCUGCGUCUUCGCACGCACAACACAAGCACAACACCAACUUUGUCAAUCACCUAGGUAGCACAAAACAACUUAAUGACCAACAAAACAAGCGAUCAACUUAAUGACCAACUUUGUCACUAACAACCAAGUGAUUACCCUUUACGCCAACUAGCUAAAACCUAACCCAAAGAUUUACCAAAACGAGGCAAUCCUCGUAUGAGACCUCCCAAGGUCACCGAAACCCAUGAACAGCCUAUGAUAACCAAAAAUGAUUACCUCUAUGUUCAGAUUCCAUAAACCAACACCGAAAGAAACGACUUCCGGUGAAGCCCCAACAUACUCAAGCAACAUUGAAACCUACAAUCUACAUGCUCAAGUACUCGUAUCGACAAGCACAACCUAACAAUUACUCCUAACCACCCAACCUCUGCCGAAGGCGCCGUCACGCACCGCCACACGCCGGCGGCGAGUGGGCCCCACGCGCCACCCUACCAACCUACGAAUUAGCCCAAGCUCACAACACAAAACUUGUAGAUUGAAGAGAGAGGAGCAUCUUUUAUACCUGAGGGUUCAACUAGUUCGGCCGGAAAUCACCGGAAACCCGCCGGAAAAGUUGGAAUUCACCACCACCACUCCACACCGAGAGUCGACCUUCAAGACCACCGGAAAACAAACCAGGACGCCAAGGAGCUCCUAUCCCGACCGUUUCCAAGCUGCGUCGCCGCCGUACACGGCCGGAACACCCUCGGGUCAAAGUCGGGUCCGCCACCCUCCACUGCAGCGUUCGAUUCUCUCAAACCAGCUUGAUUCGUCUUCGCCCACCUACACAGGGAAGAGCACGCCGAGGAGAGGAAGAGUUUCCGACCUGUGCCGUCGUCUGGGUCGGCCGGAGAUGGCCGGAAAAUCCGGGUCGAGUCAACCGGGUCCGGGUCGGGUCAGCUGAAAAACUUUGGCAGUGAGGGUGAGGCGCGGGAGAGAAGGGAAGAGAAAAAGAGGGUUUUCCGGAAAAUGAAAAGAGAACCCUGUCUUUUUCUUAUUUAACACAAAACCCCGGAAAACCACAAACUUCUGCUGACCAUAACUUCUUCAUACGAAGUCCGUUUCACGCGUGCCACGUGUCUACGAACUCGUAUCGCCAUGCUCUACAACUUUCGUGAAGGAAGUUUCCCGAGAAACCCAACCGAUUAAAAAGUCAACUCUUAACCCUUCAAAAUAGAGCAUUUUCACGGAACUAAAAACUCGACUACUUCCAGUCCACUCACUAAACCACAAAUCCAUACAACUCUUACUUAAAUAAUUUCCAAAAUAAUAUUAGAAACUAAUAUUAAAAUUCCGGGGUAUUACAGUAGAUGAAGCGUCGCCGCCAGAUCUGAACCCUAGGGUUCGGAGCAAAAGAGCUCUGCUCGGAGACUCCCCAUGAAUUCUUAUCUCGUGGGAUUAGCAAUUUCCACAGGAAAAUAAUUGAGGAAUUUGAGAGCUUAAAUUUCCGAUUUAAAUUCUUCACCAAAUAGGUGUCGUUUGUCAAAUCCAUUAGCUGAGGUUAAUCUAAAUACAAAUUCUUAACAUUUUAAAACCCUACAUCAUGGAUUAAAAAAUAAAAAAAUAAUAAAAAACUCUAAAUCAUGAAAUCCAAACAAUAAAAUUCUUAAUUAAUGGAAUUUAAAUUUAUGGAAUUAUAAUUCUCAUAAUUUUAAAAUUUCUAUGGAAAUUGAAAUUACUUUAUCCAAACACAACAUAAUAGAAAAUAAGGCAAAUAGCAGAGAAAGGUAUUGUAUAUUAUAUGAGCCCUUAUUUAUAGUCGUACAAAACUAUAAUCCAUUAUCAAUAAUAAAACCUAACCCUAUUCAUAAUAUGCAAAUUAAAUUUAGGAGAAGGCACAUUCCUUAUACAACUAGAUUACAUAUUCUUUAGGUCGACUAGGCACACACACAAAUUAGGUUAUCCUACAACGCGUAUCAACACUAGGCAAUGCUGCAAUGCUCUUCUAUUUGCCUCAUUUUUUUUUCGGGAUGUGAAAUCCACACACUCUAAAUUAAAAUCCACUCACCCUUUUUCUUUUUUGGUAAUUUAAAUUUUGUCUUUUAGUAACUUAAACGUUGUCUUUUUAUGAAUGUGUUAACCAAAAAAGGAAAAAUGGUGUGUGGAUUUCAAUUUGGGGUGUGUGAAUUUCACAUCUAUUUUUUUUUUGAAAAGUAAUUCAUUGAAACAAUUAGUGAUUACAAUCACUUUGAAUGACAUUCCUUAUAAAUUCGGGAGCAAGAUCAAGCCAUACUUGGCUGGUACACGAAAUCAUAGCAAUGCUCUUCUAGUUGCCUCAUUAAAACCUUGCGAAGUAACAAAAAACUUUGUGCGGCAAAAACAACCUUGACUGAAAGAAAAAUAUUACAACACACCCUUCACAUUUGGAAAUACAUACAACACACACCCUUCAUAUUUGGAAAUACAACAAGAGAGCGCAAAAGUCCCCUUAAAAGUAUGUGUCUCCCAUGAUAACAAUCAUGGGAUUUGAGAGAGCUUAAGCAAACUAAUGCUUUUGACAAGCUUCUCAAAUGUGGUUUUAAAUAGCGACUUGGUAAAUAAAUCUUCUACAGUGUCUUAAAAACAAACUUGAUUGACUUGAAUCUUGUUGUUGAUAAUUGUAGAAGAAUUUAGGCGAUAUGCAUAUGCAUGGUGUUGUCACCCCUGAUGAAACCUUGCUUCAUCUGCUCUAUGCAAGCUGCAUUAUCCUUCUAAAUGCAUGUAUGCUCAUAUAUGCUGGACCUCAAACCACAUGUACUUUGGAUAUGUAUGUUUAUGGAGCCCAACCAUAUACACUCACACAUGACUUCAAGUAGAGCAAUAACCUCUGCAUGAUUGGGAGAAGUAGUGACAAUGGACAGUUUGAUAGACUUGCAAAAUAUCGUGGUGUUACCCGUGAAAAAAGGAAUAACCUCUUUGUGAGGGUCGAUAGAUACUCUGCAUUAGGACAACAUUACUUAGGCUUUGGUUAGAGGGCCAACAAAAGUGUAAAAGCUUGAGGAAGUACGGCUGACAGCAACAACCGAAAUAGUAUAUGUAUUAGUGGCACAACCAUGGGUGGCGACACAUUGGCUCGCAACGGUGGUGGCGGUGCCGAGUGAGGCUAGUCGUGUUGUCUUAACAAACAUGGUCUCAUGUUGUAUCUUCUUGACUCUUUGUAGGGACGGAACAAGCCUAAAUCAAUCCUACAUUUUAAGUAACACAAUAUUGUAUUUAAUCAGUCCAAUGAGUUGCGUGGGCACGGAGUUAUAUCGAGCUAACAAUUUACAAUAAAUAAGAUAUCAGGUCUCGUGCACUGUGACAAAUACAAGAAUGCACAUAUUGCAUUAAUUAAGGUAUGACAACUCAGCCUCUAAAUCGUCUUUGUCAUUAUCCAUCGAACGAAAUAGAUCCUUCCUUAUUUCUAUUCUGCGACCAAUAGGUAACAUAAUGAACUUUAUCCAUAUUAAGACGUUUGAGCAUCUUUUCAAUAUAAGCUAAAUCAAGAUCCCACUAUCAUAAUGCUCUAAACUGAAACAAAACUGUAUUUUAUUCUCAUAUUUCAUCUCAAAUACGGAUUUCAAGUACUAGACGGUCCCUUUUAACUUAUCAAGAGUUCCACACUACUAGAAUAAAGGACUUAGGCGACGAAAACACGGUGACGAAAACAUUUUCGUCGCCUUGGUAAGUAGUUAGGCGUCGAAAACUUCAUUUGUCUAUUUGGUUCGUCACCUUAGAUUACCAAGGAGACAAAAGAAUGACUCAUACUAUUUUUGUCGCCUUAGUAGACAUUAAGGUGACGAAUAUGGUUUCACUGCCUAAAUUAUCAACCACCGAGGUGACGAACAUAUUUUUUCUUCGCAAGUUUAUCUUAGGCGACGAAAGUAGUUCUUAGGCGACGAAAUUUUUCGUCGCUGUUUCGUUGCCUAAGUAAACUCACUUUAUAAUCUCAUCUUUAUGAACCAACUAUAUAUAGAAAGUAAUAUUUUCAAAAAUCUUGUGAAAUAGGAUAUGAUCGUUAUGAUGAAAUACGAUUAUAGUUGAAAAAUCACAUAUUUUCGGUAACGUUUGGUCCCCAAUAUAAGCGGUCAACCUCAUUUACGCUUAUGCCUCCCUAUGGGGAGGCUUAUCGUCGGGAGGUGAACGUCUCUAAAGUUUUAAAUAGGUGGUUAGAUCUCAUCAAUGUGAGAGUUUUGUGUGUGGAAGAAUCAACCAAACUAGGCCAUAUAGGGGUAUGUAAGAGCGUUUUCGUGUAAUAAUUGGCGUUGGUUUAGGUUUGACCGUGUGGAUCGAGACCCAAACCUUAUCGAAAACAUGUGAAUUUUUUUUCAUAGCCGUAUUUAAGUAUACUAAUCAUAUCGUACGGUUAAAUUUUCAUUUUGUGAAAUUUAGCCGUCGGAACCACAACAUACCUACUAAUGUGGGUAGCAGGUUAUAUGCAAGUGUACAUCUUUGUGAACCAACUAUAUAUAGGAAGCAAUAUUUUCAAAAAUCAUGUGAAAGGAUGUGAUCGGUAUGAUGAAAUACGGCUAUGGUUGAAAAAUUACAUAUUUCCGGUAACGUUUGGUCGCCGAUAGAAGCUGUCAACCCCAUUUACGCUUAUGCUUCCUUAUGGGAGCCUUAUCGUUGGGAGGUGAACGUCCCUAAAUUUUUACAUAGGUGGUUAGAUCUCAUCAAUGUGAGAGUUUUGUAUGUGGAAGAAUCAACCAAACUAGGCCAUAUAAAGGUGUGUAAGAGCGUUUUCAUGUAAUAAGUGGCGUUAGUUUAUGUUUGACCGUGUGGAUCGAGACCCAAACCUUAUCGAAAACAAGUGAAUUUUUUUUCAUAGCCGUAUUUAAGUAUACUGAUCAUAUCGUACGGUUGAAUUUUCAUUUUGUAAAAUUUAGCCAUCGGAACCAUAACGUGCCUACUAAUAUGGUAUAACUUGUUUAGUAAGUUAUAUGCAAGUAUACAUUUUUGUGAACCAACUAUAUAUAGGAUGCAAUAUUUUCAAAAAUCAUGUGAAAUAGGAUGUGAUCGGUAUGAUGAAAUAUGACAAUAGUUGAAAAAUCACAUAUUUCCGGUAAUGUUUGGUCGCCGAUAGAAGCGGUCAACCCCAUUUACGUUUAUGCUUCUCUACAAUUCUAUAAUAUCAUUAAUUUCUUACUUAGGCAAAAAAUAAUAAUCAUUUCAAGUUAGCAUAUAACUGAUUGAUUACUCAAAUGAAUUCAAUACUAUAAUUAUAUAAUUCUAUAAAUAAAACUGAUAAUGAAUAUCAUUAAAUUACUGAACUAAUUUAAUACUAUAAUUAUAUAAUUCUAAAAAAAAUAUUAAUUACUUAGAGGACGAAAUCGUUGCCUAACUGCAAAAUUUUUAGCAGCACCUUUUCCGCCAAAAAUUUCAGACAAAUUCAAACCAAAAUUUGAAAAGUUUCCUUAUCUUCUUUUUGUUCUUCUUUUUAUUACCUCUUCCUCACUUUUCAUUUCUCUAUUGUUUUUCUUUGAACUCUCUCUUCUCUUCUUCAGACUCUCCUCUCCCUCCUCUCUUCUUUAGACUCUUCUCUCCUGCCUCUCCUCUCCCUCCUCUCUUCUCCCCCACCGACUGAGACCCCUAGACUCUAGCUCUCCCUCUGCCUCUCCUUCUUCUUCGCUCUCACUCUGGUCUGCGUCACAAGACGAGCACGCGGGUCUAGCACGCAGAUUUGGGUCGCUGGCGAAGGGGCUGGGUGGCCGACGAAGGAGUAUGCAGAUCUGAGCACGCAAAUCAAAACCGCCAAACGGAGGAAUUAAAUCUCCACCGCUCCGACUGUCAUGGCCGCCAACCGCCAUCGUCAAGGCCAAGCGAUCGCCACCCGCUCACCUUCCCUUUGUUGAGGUAUGUAAAUCUUACUAUUAAUAUACCGUUUUGGCCUUGGUUGAUUUGUGAUCGGAGAACUAAGUUUGCGUUUUUGCAGAUGACUACGAAGGCGAUCUUGGUUGAAAUUGGGUUGUUCGAUCUCGGUUGUAAGAUAUUGGGGUUGUUUAGGGUUGAUUGGAUUUGGGUUGUAAGAAGUUGGAGUCGGAGGUGGUGUAGGAGGCGGCGGCGGCGGCGGCGGUUGUAACAAUACUAGAAACCCAGUAUCUGUCAAAAACGAACCUAAAACAAAAAAAAAGACCUAAUGGAAAAGAACCUAAAAGAAAAGGACCUAAAAGAAGAAAAAAAACAAAAACAGAAAAUUCACAAAUUUAAUAAAAAUAAUUUUUUUUUCUUUUUAUGUCACAAAUUUAAUACUAGAACUUAAAUUCGGGAAAGGAAACUAAGGCGACUAUAAUUUUCUUUUGUCAUUAAGUGUUGGCGACAAUAAUUUCGACCCUUGAAUGUGUUUGUUUUCCACUUUAGACUUAUGUGACGAUGAAUAAAUAGUCGCCUAAGUGUUCAUUUAGGCGACCAUUAUUUUUUUUUCGUCGCCUAAAUUCUUACGGGUCCAUACUGAGGCGACGAUUGUUAGGCGACGAAUUUUUCGUCGCCUGAGAACUUAGGCGACGAAAAUGAGCAUUUAGGCGACGAAACCUGUUUGUCACCUAAAUCCUUUAUUCUAGUAGUGCCAAUAAUAUUCAUACCAUCGACAUAUAACGCAAAUACAAAAAUUAGGAACUUUUUGUCUUUAUAAACAAGCAAGAGUAUAAUUCAUUGUUCACGUACUCUCUUCUAAUCAAGUAGUCCAGAUUGUUUUCAUAUAGUGAACGUCGCAUACUUAUAGCAAAAGUGCUGAGUGUUCUGGAGUCAUUUGAGUUGAGCAUCUAGAUUCUAUUAGGGACCUUCAUGUGCAUCUCCGUAACUAGAUCUCCAUAGAGAUAGACAAUGACCACAUCCAUAAGAUGAAUAUUCAGUUUUUCUUAAACUAUCAAACUAAUAAGGUAGUAGAUCAUUUUGACGUCCAUAAAUUAUAAGAGAAUACAUCUUCUCGUAGUCGAUUCCAUGAUGUUGCUGAGUCUCAAACCUUUGAAGUACCCAAGUUCUAGUUGGUAGGCUCAUAGGCAUGAAGAUCCUCAGAUAGACCAGUGCACCCUUAAAAUGGAAAUAACUUAGGUGACCAUCUAUGAUCACUUAUGAGUGACAAACACUAAUGAGAGAUAAACAAGUGUCAAUAAUAAAAAUAAACAAAUAUGUCAAAUACCUAAAAUCUUCAUGUUAUGUCCUUAGAUUGCAGCCAUGCCUUUUAAAAUAGACACGUGUCUCAUGUUCAUUGGUUGUGGUCACCUUAAGGUGACCAACCCUUGUCACCGAAGUCGGAUACGUUUAAAUGAUAAGUGAUGAAUAACGGUAAUUAGCCCCUCUAAAGAAUCUAGCUAUGAACCACAAAAUUAAUCUAUAAGUGAGUGGAUACAUUACCCCAUAGCCCAUGCAACCCAAAUAUGAAUUACAAGGAUAAACAUUUAGCUCCGGUGCGUAUUGUUGCAUUUCUUGUAGUCAUAAGGUGCAAGAACACAUAAAAUUCUAGCUUAGGCACUCAUUGUAGCCCUCUUUACAAAACGCGAUGUCCCUUUGAAAGUUUAUUGAUAUUUUAUUUUGUUUUAUUAUUAACUUCUGUAUUAUAUUAUUUAUUUAUUUAGAAGCUUGAUUUUGAAAUAUAUCAUUAAGAAGAAAAUGGCCAAUCAUGAUAGGAUGGCCUUAACCGUAAGACCAACCCUGAAGUGCAAUCUUAUUCUGGUUGUUGUUCUUUCUUACAUUAUUUAAAAAUAAAUAUACACAAGUUCUUUCUUGUAGGACUCAGCUCAUUUGUUAAUCAAUAUCC